UACGGGGGGAGCAAGCGUUGUUCGGAUUUACUGGGCGUAAAGGGCGCGUAGGCGGUCAGCACAAGUCAGUUGUGAAAUCUCCGAGCUUAACUCGGAACGGUCAACUGAUACUGUGCGACUAGAGUGCGGAAGGGGCAACUGGAAUUCCUGGUGUAGCGGUGGAAUGCGCAGAUAUCAGGAGGAACACCGGUGGCGAAGGCGGAUCUCUGGGCCAUAACUGACGCUGAGGAGCGAAAGCAUGGGGAGCGAACAGG
This 254-nucleotide ribosomal RNA is filed under the name uncultured bacterium. RNAcentral describes it as "partial 16S ribosomal RNA". It matches the Rfam family "Bacterial small subunit ribosomal RNA", at positions 524 to 776 of the family's 1533-position model. The record is from RNAcentral.